GACAGAACCAGAAGAGGCACAGAAGCUCCUGUGGUGACCAAGGAAAGGAUGUCGCAGAUCAGUGCAGUGGUGACUUCAUGCUAUUCGGACCUUGGGAGCCCAAAGCACAGCUAUCAGCAUCUGCGUCCCAGAGGUGCGACAAAAACUCCACGAGGACUGCAGAACUUUCCGAAAGCCCGUGGAUGGCACACAUAGAGCUAUCAGAAAGGUACGGAAGGAGAAAUCUGUCAAAUUCAAAAGUUCCUCGCAACAAGGCUGAGUCCCUCCCUCUUCUCCGAAGAUGCCAACCAUCUUGCAGAGAAAUCAAGUGGCACUAACUGUGUUUACUUCCUCCUGAACCAAGGUCUUCAGCUCUGUGUUCAAGGAGAAUUUCUAUCAUCUCCCUACUCCCAGCUCAACAGACAGGGCCACGUGCUAUGUAAUUUUCUAAGCACAUUACACAGAUAAUCUAAUUUACCUUAAUAAAACCCCUGUAAG
This 477-nucleotide long non-coding RNA is filed under the name Rattus norvegicus (Norway rat). RNAcentral describes it as "long non-coding RNA NONRATT029068". The record is from RNAcentral. Lineage: Eukaryota; Metazoa; Chordata; Mammalia; Rodentia; Muridae.